GUGGCUCCGUGGUAGAGCACCUGGCCGGCAUCCAGACGGCCCCAAGUUCAAUUCCUGAAAUCCCCA
Molecule: transfer RNA, 66 nt
Filed under: Sphaerodactylus townsendi
Lineage: Eukaryota; Metazoa; Chordata; Lepidosauria; Squamata; Sphaerodactylidae
Description: tRNA-Ala
Source: RNAcentral